CGAAAAUGAACUUUGUUUCUUGGAGUGGGCUUUUGCGAGUGCGAAAUAGGUGAUUCGAGUUUUAGAAGUAAGAAUAACGAGGCGCUUCGGCUAUGUAAGGAGCGGAAGAGAUUUAUCAAACAAGCAAUCGAUUCAAGGAUAUUAGAAUGGAUAUACCUCCUCCUACAAAGAUUCUAGAAAUUAGUCCAAUGGAAGAAGAUGUUAUAAUGGGUGAAGAAAGAAGUUGACCCAAUUCCAUGGCAAUUAGAGAGUCAUGGCUAUUGGAUCGGACUUCCAAGGCUCCCUAC
Molecule: long non-coding RNA, 287 nt
Organism: Macadamia integrifolia
Lineage: Eukaryota; Viridiplantae; Streptophyta; Magnoliopsida; Proteales; Proteaceae
Exons: 3
Source: RefSeq, a predicted model, not a curated record